AAGAUAACAUUGAAUUCCUGGUGCUGGAAUGUAGCUCAGUGGUAGGGUGUUUUGCCUAGCAUGUGCUCAUGGGGCCCCGGGUUCGUUCCCUCACACCAAGAAUAGGGACCACUAAAACAGUGU
Molecule: microRNA precursor, 123 nt
Filed under: Mus caroli (Ryukyu mouse)
Lineage: Eukaryota; Metazoa; Chordata; Mammalia; Rodentia; Muridae
Description: miRNA (MGP_CAROLIEiJ_G0006994.1)
Source: RNAcentral